This is an RNA transcript of Cephus cinctus (wheat stem sawfly), 1207 nucleotides long. RefSeq lists it as uncharacterized. The transcript is spliced from 7 exons. NCBI's taxonomy places the organism in Eukaryota, Metazoa, Arthropoda, Insecta, Hymenoptera, Cephidae. The record is from RefSeq and is a predicted model, not a curated record.
GAGAGGAAAAAGAAAAGAGGAGUGGCGCUCAUUGACUUCAAGGGCGACAUUCGAAAUUCAACGCGGGGAUCUUCGUAAUCUGCUCUAUGCGAACCUUUACAUUACGCUAACGACAACGCAGGAUAAAGUGUCUCCGCGGGGGCUGUUCCACUCUGAAAUGGAAGUGAAAGUUUCGUAGGAAACUAAAAUGAAAAAAAGGGAAUGGAAGACGCAGCCGGGGAAAAACGUUAGAGGUUAAAAAAAAAGUUACAAAAAACAAAGUCUUUUGCCACUUGAACGAAAAAUCAUAUACCCACCGAUUACCGAAAUCCAGGCUCGACGUGUCCCCGACAUCUCAUAGGAAUUUAACGACCAGGCGAUAACGUUAAGGCAGACGAUGCCCGACGUCACGGGACGACGGUAAACUUUGGAAAUGACGCCUUUCGAAACGGAAGCAUUCGAAUGCGCUUCACGAGGAACAUGACAACUUUUGCGUAUGUAGUAUAUCGGGGAUUAAAAUUGGGUACCAUGUGAUGAAAGUGUCAAAAUCCUAUUUAUGACGUAACGGGUUUAUGCUGCCAUUGAAUCAUAAAUUUUCUUGACGUCCUAAGUAACAAGAUACACGGCAAUUACGAUACCAAUUUAAUGUAAGAAUUAUUAUGUUUUUCGCAAAGUUUCACCUUUUGUUUUACAUGUUAAAACAAUUUCUACGGAUUUACUGAAAUCCCCGUAUAACGCUAGGAAGCUGUGGAAUUUCACAACGAAACGAAGAGAAAGGGAAGGGUGCCUGGGGAAAAAAAGUUAAUUUACUUUCGAACUGCGAGAGCAACGAGAAGUUUUACGAGCAGAAAACUUUACAAACACAAACAAAGAGGAAAGGUCCAAUUCAAGCAGCCUUAGGGGACCAGGGCGUGUGCGUUGCCAACAGAGGGUUGAUAUUAUGCGGUACCAUACCCUGCCAGCAACGACGCAACCACCAUGAGAGGGUGAUAUUGUCUGCGUGUUGGGUUUAUAGUUGCCUGACUUCCGUGCUUGGCCCAUUAAAGCUCAAAUUAUUUUACAACCUGCAUCGACGUCGCCUGGAAAGUUCACCGGUCAAUCCACAAAAUAGUCUCGAUGAUAAAAGAUAAAUGAAAAAUCUGAUAUUUCAAUGAAAAUUUUUUAAGACAAGAUAUAUCACACGAGAUAAAGAAAAAUAUCGGAACUAAUAUAUAUUACAAACGACAAU